GUAGGGAAUAUUGGGCAAUGGUCGGAAGACUGACCCAGCCAUGCCGCGUGCAGGAAGACGGCCCUCUGGGUUGUAAACUGCUUUUAUCUGGGAAGAAAAAGGCCAUGCGUGGCAAAUUGCCGGUACCAGAUGAAUAAGCACCGGCUAACUCCGUGCCAGCAGCCGCGGUAAUACGGAGGGUGCGAGCGUUGUCCGGAUUUAUUGGGUUUAAAGGGUGCGUAGGCGGCUGAUUAAGUCAGCGGUGAAAGACUUCGGCUUAACCGGAGCAGUGCCGUUGAUACUGGUUGGCUUGAGUGUCGGAGGGGUACAUGGAAUUGAUGGUGUAGCGGUGAAAUGCAUAGAUACCAUCAGGAACACCGAUAGCGAAGGCAUUGUACUGGCCGACAACUGACGCUGAUGCACGAAAGUGUGGGGAUCGAACAGGAUUAGAAACCCUUGUAGUCC
Molecule: ribosomal RNA, 444 nt
Filed under: uncultured bacterium
Lineage: Bacteria
Description: bacterial SSU rRNA
Rfam family: Bacterial small subunit ribosomal RNA
Source: RNAcentral